RNAcentral lists this ribosomal RNA (364 nucleotides) under Gonyaulax turbynei. RNAcentral's name for it is "eukaryotic LSU rRNA". It matches the Rfam family "Eukaryotic large subunit ribosomal RNA", at positions 1 to 362 of the family's 3401-position model. Lineage: Eukaryota; Dinophyceae; Gonyaulacales; Gonyaulacaceae. The record is from RNAcentral.
UUAACAUGAAGUAAAGCAUGUAAACCUGCUGAAUUUAAGCAUAUAAGUAAGCGGUGGAAAAUGGAACCAAAUGGGAUUCCUUAAGUAAUUGCGAAAUGAAAAAGGAUAUGCUCAGCCUUGAAAAUUGAAGCUUUCUGGUUUUGAAUUGUAGUUUUGAAAUGUAUUGCCGAUGGAGGUGCAGGUGUAAGCCUGUUGGAAAACAGUGUCAGUGAGGGUGAGGUGCCUUUUUGUCAUUUGCAGUCCUUCAAGCACGGUAUAUAUUUGCCGAGUCACACUCCUUGGCAUUGGAAUGCAAAGUGGGUGGUCAAUUCCAUGAAAAGGGAAAUACAUUUUGAGACGAUAGCUAUCUCUACUACGUGUAAAA